UUUCUCGCAUAAGUUUUUAGUCUCUCUCUCUUUCUUCUCUCACGGGACGAUCUAUCUUUCUCGAUCUCACGAGACCGUCAUCAUCGAUCACGACAUCGAUCAACCCUUUUGGGUCAUUGCUUUUGGGUUAUCGAUUGCAACACAUCAACUCAUCUUCCUUGUGAGACGGUUGUUAUUAGACCGAGUCCAAAUAAUGUGGAAGACAUGAUCACACGUCCACCAAAGGAGAGGAAGUUUAACAGUACCUUGGCAAGCACACAAGAACAAGAAGAACAAACUUGAGUUCCUUGUAUCAUGGUUGGGAUCUUCAAGCACGCAAGAACAGUACAAGAGGAACAAACUCAGUUAUUGUUUUUUUUUUAAAUAUA
Brassica oleracea var. oleracea is the source of this 368-nucleotide long non-coding RNA. RefSeq lists it as uncharacterized. The record is from RefSeq and is a predicted model, not a curated record. NCBI's taxonomy places the organism in Eukaryota, Viridiplantae, Streptophyta, Magnoliopsida, Brassicales, Brassicaceae. The transcript has 3 exons.